This 403-nucleotide ribosomal RNA is filed under the name uncultured bacterium. Its description in RNAcentral is "bacterial SSU rRNA". It matches the Rfam family "Bacterial small subunit ribosomal RNA", at positions 28 to 409 of the family's 1533-position model. The record is from RNAcentral.
AGUGAACGCUGGCGGCAGGCCUAACACAUGCAAGUCGAACGGACCAGGUGGAAGGCAACGGAAGCCUGGUUAGUGGCGGACGGGUGAGUAAUGCAUGGACAAUGUACCCUGGACACGGGGAUAGCGGCGGAGACUUCGGUCUCCUUUGCGAAAGUGCCGGUAAUACCUGAUAAUACCGUAUGGUCGCAUGGCUGUGCGGUCAAAGCUCCGGCGGUCUGGGAUCGGUCCANGUCCUAUCAGCUGGUUGGUGGGGUAACGGCCUACCAAGGCAUCGACGGGUAGCGGGCGUGAGAGCGCGACCCGCACAUCGGGACUGAGACACGGCCCGGACACCUACGGGUGGCUGCAGCAACGAAUCUUCCGCAAUGGGCNCAAGCCUGACGGAGCGACGCGCGUGUUGGAA